Long non-coding RNA from Panicum hallii, 2686 nucleotides. RefSeq lists it as uncharacterized. The transcript is spliced from 5 exons. The record is from RefSeq and is a predicted model, not a curated record. Lineage: Eukaryota; Viridiplantae; Streptophyta; Magnoliopsida; Poales; Poaceae.
UUAAUCAUAAAAAAGAGGAGGAGGAGGCAGCGGCGGUGCGGAUGCCGCGCGACGGCGUCGCUCAAGGCCUCGAGGUCGAGGCUGUGCUGGCGACCGAGGCAGCGUGGGAGCAGCGGGACGCUAUUCCCUCAACAUGGACCUGGACUCGCCACAGCUUCUCUCGAAGCAAGGAGCCGAUGGGAUUACAUUGCUAAGAAAAGGGAUGGUUCCAGGCUACAUGUGGAUUGGGAUUAGAUCGACAUGAAUAUUUCAUUCUUGGAGGGAUAACCUAGAUGGUGAAGAACAAUCUUUACAAGUACCUGCUGCAAAUCCCUUUGAAGAUAGCAAUGACAGAAUCAAUAGGUUAGUUGCCAUGCAUAAAAGUUUAUCAGAAGCAAAUAAGGCAUCACUGCUGUCUCAAGUCAAGAAGCGAAAGAGGUCAACUUCAGCAGUUGAUGCUUCAAAUACUGUACAUAUAAGCGAAACAGAUCAACUUCAGCAGUUAACUAGCUCUCCCACUCUGAUCUCUCCAGUUCAGAACAGAAGCAAAAGAGUUGGGUCAAAGAAAUCACUUGUUUGGAAGCAUUUUGAUACAGGAUUAAGGGGCCAGGAUCCUAUUGCAACAUGCAAAUAUUGCAGGCAAGUAUAUGCUUGCAAUAGAUCAACUCAUGGAACCAGCACCCUAUGGCACCAUCUAAGGUUCUUAUGCUAGCAAGAGCCACUCAAGGGCCAGGACUUGCAAAGGAAGAACCAAGGAACACCGAAACAUUCUUUUAGCAUCGAAGAUUGUCGCAAAGCACUUGCAGAGGUGGUAAUAAUUGAUGAGAUGCCUUUUAAAUCUGUCGAAGGUGAGGGAUUCAAACGAUAUUCCAAAGUACUGCAACCCAGAUUUGAAAUCCCUUCUAGAAUCACAGUAGCAAGAGAUUGUAUGCAGCGAUAUGUUGAAGAAAAACCCAAGUUAAAGAAGAUUUUGAAUAAUCACAGAAUCUGCCUAACAACAGAUACCUGGACCUCGAAACAAAAUUUAAGUUAUAUGGUUCUCACUGCUCACUGGAUUGAUGAUGACUGGAAGCUGCAAAGACGGAUCCUUAAUUUUUGUUCAGUAGCAGAUCACAAAGGAGAAACUCUUGGGAAAAGGGUUGAAGAAUGUUUGUUGGACUAGGGUAUUGAUCGCAUAUUCACUAUCACGGUUGACAAUGCAUGUCCUAAUGACAAGUUAAUUGAAUACUAAUGGGGUAGCAAAGAUUGGAAUGGAGUUGUGUUAAAGAACAAAUUUCUUCAUGUGAGGUGCUGCGUUCAUAUUGUCAACCUAGUUGUGAAGAGUGGACUGGAAGAACACAAUGACUCUGUCGAAAGAAUAAGAACAACAGUAAAAUUUGUGAGGUCUUUACCUUCAAGGUUGAAGAUUUUCAAGAAAUGUGCAGAAUUGGAAAAGAUAUCAACCAGAAGUCUUUUGUCCUCAGAUCUGGAGACGAGAUGGAAUGCUACCUACCUUAUGUUGGACAAUGCAGAAAAGUUCGAGAAGGCUUUUGCAAGACUGGAUAAAGUGUGCAGACCUUUCAGAGCUUAUUUUGCCAACAAAGAUCCUCCCACUGCAGAUGAUUAGCAAACCGCAAGGCGCAUAUUCUGUUUCUUGAAACUAAUUGAAAAGGUCACAACUCGCCUCUCCGCUUCUUUACAUGUAACAUCAAGUAUAGUUUUUCAUGACAUAAUGUUGAUGCGCGCAAAAUUAAGUGAAUUUGCUGGUGGAGAAGAUCCAACAUUAUCUUCGAUGGCGUAUCUGAUGAAACUAAAAUUUGAGAAAUAUUGGGAAACAGAAGGCAAUCUGAACUACUUAUUGUUCAUUGCUGUCAUUUUGGAUCUGAGAUACAAGCUUAAAUAUUUGGGAUAUUGCUUAGAACUUCUGUAUGGAUCAUGUGGGGGCAAGAAAUUUGCUGAGAAAAUUGAAUCAGCUCUCAAUGAAUUAUUUGGUUCCUAUGUGAAAACUGUCAAUGACUCUUCUUCUUCUAUCAAUAGAGGAUCAAAUCAAGCUCCAAUUCAAAUCAAUGUAAACGAAGAGUACGAAGAGAACCCGUGGGAUAUGCUAGCUACUACCCAAGCUACUAAAUUUGAACAACAUAUGGAGGAGAUUGAAUAUGAAUCAAGUGGGUCAGAAUGAUCAAGGUAUCUAGCUGAUAAACGUGAGAAGAUAACUAAGGAGUUUGAUAUAUUGGAAUAUUGGAAAGUGAACUCCAAUAAAUAUCCAAUAUUAUCUCUUUUGGCAAAGGAUGUGCUAGCUGUUCCUGCUUCUACAGUGCCUUCAGAAUAUGCUUUUAGCACAGGUGGAAGGAUUAUCGAUCUCCUCAGAUGCAGUCUAUCAACUGACACAGUUGAAGCUUUAAUUUGUUCACAAAGUUGGCUACAAACAUCACAAAGAAAAUUAAGUGUAAGAGAGGCUGCUGGAGAGGUCUGGGCAUACGAGGAGAUUAGAGAAGAGUUUGUUUCGAAGGACUGCACUGAUAAGCAACACCAUAUUGAUUUCAUUGAGCUGGACACAUAGCCAAUUGAUGCAAGUAUGAGAGUAUUAUUGGUUAUGCUGGUCUAAAGGCAGCAUCAAUUUUGUUUAUAUUUUGGUUAUGUUAAAUUAUUGUUUAGGCCCCUGCUAUCAGAAAUCCUGAAUUGAACUGGCAGAUAUCUCACCUACACAACAUGAACAGUACCCUAGCCA